GGGGGUGCUAUACAUGCAGUUAGCGCAGGAAGCUCACGGAACUCUUCGGAGUGGAAGUGAAGGGAAUGAGCGGCGGACGGGUGAGUAACACGUAAGGAACCUGCCCCAAGGAUUGGGAUAACUCCGAGAAAUCGGAGCUAAUACCGAAUAGUUCUUCAGACCGCAUGGUCUGAUGAUGAAAGGCGCUCCGGCGUCACCUUGGGAUGGCCUUGCGGUGCAUUAGCUAGUUGGUGGGGUAAUGGCCCACCAAGGCGACGAUGCAUAGCCGACCUGAGAGGGUGAUCGGCCACACUGGGACUGAGACACGGCCCAGACUCCUACGGGAGGCAGCAGUAGGGAAUCUUCCACAAUGGACGAAAGUCUGAUGGAGCAACGCCGCGUGAGUGAUGAAGGUUUUCNGAUCGUAAAACUCUGUUGUAAGGGAAGAACAAGUACGAGAGGUAAUGCUCGUACCUUGACGGUACCUUGCGAGAAAGCCACGGCUAACUACGUGCCAGCAGCCGCGGUAAUACGUAGGUGGCAAGCGUUGUCCGGAAUUAUUUGGGCGUUAAAGCGCGCGCAGGGCGGCUUUUAAGUCUUGAUUGUGAAAGCCCCCGGGCUCAACCGGGGAGGGUCCAUUGGAAACUGGAAGG
Molecule: ribosomal RNA, 632 nt
Filed under: Exiguobacterium sp. UST050418-260
Lineage: Bacteria; Bacillati; Bacillota; Bacilli; Caryophanales
Description: bacterial SSU rRNA
Rfam family: Bacterial small subunit ribosomal RNA
Source: RNAcentral